Molecule: ribosomal RNA, 377 nt
Filed under: uncultured bacterium
Lineage: Bacteria
Description: bacterial SSU rRNA
Rfam family: Bacterial small subunit ribosomal RNA
Source: RNAcentral
AUACGUAGGGGGCGAGCGUUGUCCGGAAUUACUGGGCGUAAAGGGCGCGCAGGCGGCCUGAUAAGUCACUCGUGAAAAGCGUAGGCUCAACCUAUGCACUGCGGGUGAAACUGUGAGGCUUGAGUGCAGUAGAGGGAAGCGGAAUUCCUAGUGUAGCGGUGAAAUGCGUAGAUAUUAGGAAGAACACCAGUGGCGAAGGCGGCUUUCUGGGCUGUAACUGACGCUGAGGCGCGAAAGCUGGGGGAGCGAACGGGAUUAGAUACCCCGGUAGUCCCAGCCGUAAACGAUGAUCACUAGGUGUAGGAGGUAUCGACCCCUUCUGUGCCGAAGCAAACGCAUUAAGUGAUCCGCCUGGGGAGUACGUCCGCAAGGAUGAA